This 345-nucleotide long non-coding RNA is filed under the name Chinchilla lanigera (long-tailed chinchilla). Its description in RNAcentral is "lncRNA (ENSCLAG00000027609.1)". Lineage: Eukaryota; Metazoa; Chordata; Mammalia; Rodentia; Chinchillidae. The record is from RNAcentral.
CUUCUGCUGUGGUUGGGGCUCUGCAGUUCUCAGCCAGCUGAGGAAGUCUUGAAGCAUGGCUCCCUCCUUGGCUCUGGAGAGGAUUCCAGGGCUGGCCUCACUUGGGUGGAAUUCAGGGACCUGGACUAUAACAGGCAGAAGAGAAUGUUUGAAGGAUAUAUGGAUGAGUGCGUGGAGUAGUGGAUGGAGACAUGAUGCUGUUCAGGCUUAGGCUUUUGUACUUGGUAUCCUGAGACUCACUGCUGACCUUGGGAGGUUCCUUCUUCUCAGCACUGUCGCUGCAGGUGGGUGAAUUCAGGCCUUUUUGACCCUGGCACAGAGCCAUCACGGGGGAACUAAGUGAAC